RNAcentral lists this ribosomal RNA (421 nucleotides) under uncultured bacterium. RNAcentral describes it as "partial 16S ribosomal RNA". It matches the Rfam family "Bacterial small subunit ribosomal RNA", at positions 360 to 773 of the family's 1533-position model. The record is from RNAcentral.
AAUUUUGGACAAUGUUGAAAACCGUGCUCCAGUCAUCAAUCGUGUAUGAUGAACGCCUGCUGGAUGUAAAGUACUUGUGGCAGAGACGAAUAGGUACCUACUAAUACGAGGUACUACUGACGGAAUCUGCAGAAUAAGUACCGGCUAACUACGAUCCAUCAGCCGCGGUAAUACGUAGGGUGCAAGCGUUAAUCGUAAUUAUAGGGCGUAAAGCGUGUAUAGGCGUGUCGGAAAGAAAGAUGUGAAAUCCCAGGGCUCAACCUUGGAAAUUCAUUAUUAACUGCCGAGCUAGAGUAUGUCAGAGGGGGGUAGAAUUCCACGUGUAGCAGUGAAAUGAGUAGAUAUGUGGAGGAAUACCGAUGGCAAAGUCAGCCCCCUGUGAUAAUACUGACGCUCAGACACGAAAGCGUGAGGAGCAAAC